UGGGGGGUAGCUCAGUGGUAGAGCACUUGCCUAGCACACAAGAGGCCAUGGGUUCAAACCCCGCAUCACAA
RNAcentral lists this transfer RNA (71 nucleotides) under Ictidomys tridecemlineatus (thirteen-lined ground squirrel). RNAcentral's name for it is "Spermophilus tridecemlineatus (thirteen-lined ground squirrel) tRNA". It matches the Rfam family "tRNA". From Rfam's summary of the family: Transfer RNA (tRNA) molecules are approximately 80 nucleotides in length. Their secondary structure includes four short double-helical elements and three loops (D, anti-codon, and T loops). The record is from Rfam by way of RNAcentral. Lineage: Eukaryota; Metazoa; Chordata; Mammalia; Rodentia; Sciuridae.